This 253-nucleotide ribosomal RNA is filed under the name uncultured bacterium. RNAcentral describes it as "partial 16S ribosomal RNA". It matches the Rfam family "Bacterial small subunit ribosomal RNA", at positions 524 to 776 of the family's 1533-position model. The record is from RNAcentral.
UACGUAGGGGGCUAGCGUUGUCCGGAAUUAUUGGGCGUAAAGAGCGUGUAGGCGGUCCGGUAAGUCCGCUGUGAAAGUCCAGGGCUCAACCCUGGAAUGCCGGUGGAUACUGCCGGGCUAGAGUCCGGAAGAGGCGAGUGGAAUUCCUGGUGUAGCGGUGAAAUGCGCAGAUAUCAGGAGGAACACCGAUGGCGAAGGCAGCUCGCUGGGACGGUACUGACGCUGAGACGCGAAAGCGUGGGGAGCAAACAGG